This 697-nucleotide ribosomal RNA is filed under the name uncultured fungus. Its description in RNAcentral is "SSU rRNA". It matches the Rfam family "Eukaryotic small subunit ribosomal RNA", at positions 392 to 1092 of the family's 1831-position model. The record is from RNAcentral. Lineage: Eukaryota; Fungi.
GAGCCUGAGAAACGGCUACCACAUCCAAGGAUGGCAGCAGGCGCGCAAAUUACCCAAUCCCGACACGGGGAGGUAGUGACAAUAAAUAACAAUACGGGGUUCUUUAGGAUCUCGUAAUUGGAAUGAGUACAAUUUAAAUCUCUUAACGAGGAACAAUUGGAGGGCAAGUCUGGUGCCAGCAGCCGCGGUAAUUCCAGCUCCAAUAGCGUAUAUUAAAGUUGUUGCAGUUAAAAAGCUCGUAGUUGAAUUUCGGGGUUAGUAGGUUGGUCAUGCCUGGUAUGUACUGGUCUCACUGAUUCCUCCUUCCUUAUGAACCGUAAUGCCAUUAAUUUGGUGUUGCGGGGAAUUUGGACUGUUACUUUGAAAAAAUUAGAGUGUUUAAAGCAGGCUAACGCUUGAAUACAUUAGCAUGGAAUAAUGAAAUAGGACGUUCGAUCUUAUUUUGUUGGUUUCUAGGAUUGACGUAAUGAUUAAUAGGGAUAGUUGGGGGCAUUAGUAUUCAAUUGUCAGAGGUGAAAUUCUUGGAUUUAUUGAAGACUAACUACUGCGAAAGCAUUUGCCAAGGAUGUUUUCAUUAAUCAAGAACGAAAGUUAGGGGAUCGAAGACGAUCAGAUACCGUCGUAGUCUUAACCAUAAACUAUGCCGACUAGGGAUCGGAUGAUGUUAAUUUUUUAAUGACUCAUUCGGCGCCUUACG